GGUAGCGGGGGAUAGCUAUUGGAAACGAUAGCUAAUACCGCAUAACAGUAGAUAUUGCAUGAUAUCUGCUUGAAAGGUGCAAAUGCAUCACUACCAGAUGGACCUGCGUUGUAUUAGCUAGUUGGUGAGGUAACGGCUCACCAAGGCGACGAUACAUAGCCGACCUGAGAGGGUGAUCGGCCACACUGGGACUGAGACACGGCCCAG
Molecule: ribosomal RNA, 207 nt
Filed under: uncultured bacterium
Lineage: Bacteria
Description: partial 16S ribosomal RNA
Rfam family: Bacterial small subunit ribosomal RNA
Source: RNAcentral